AAUAUGGCAGAAUAAUAUGCAAUGAACUUAAAAUUCAUUAAUAAAGAAUAAUCUUUUUUUAGAAAUC
Molecule: transfer RNA, 67 nt
Filed under: Neuquenaphis blackmani
Lineage: Eukaryota; Metazoa; Arthropoda; Insecta; Hemiptera; Aphididae
Description: Neuquenaphis sp. 2 CDVD-2019 partial tRNA-Leu
Source: RNAcentral